This 106-nucleotide small nuclear RNA is filed under the name Catagonus wagneri (Chacoan peccary). Lineage: Eukaryota; Metazoa; Chordata; Mammalia; Artiodactyla; Tayassuidae. The record is from RNAcentral.
GUGCUCGCUUCGACAGCACAUAUACUAAAAUUGGAACGAUACAGAGAGAUCAGCAUGGCCCCUGCGCAAGGAUGACACGCAAAUUUGUGAAGUGUUCCAUAUUUUU